Molecule: long non-coding RNA, 1999 nt
Organism: Gallus gallus (chicken)
Lineage: Eukaryota; Metazoa; Chordata; Aves; Galliformes; Phasianidae
Source: Ensembl
GUUUGUUUGUUUGUCUGUUUUGUUUUGUUUUCUUUUUUCAUUCUUUUUUUCUUUUCUUUCCAGUUUAACAGUAUGGAAAUGUUACGGAAGAAUCAUAUGUAAAAACAGUUUGUCAGUCUCUGCCGAGCACUAUUGAAUAAAAGGCAAAUCUGUUAGGUUGUUAAGAGUAGUUGAGCACGAACAAUGGGAACGAUAUGGGGCCAUUAGUUAGGGGUGGGGCUUGGGGUGAAGAAUUGGUAUGGAAUAUUGUACUGGAAUUAAUUGUAAUAGCCACUCCUUGUACCAUAAAUAUGCUUGUAUUCCCUCUAGAAAGAGGGAUGUUUACCUGCUUUCAGUGUGCAGGCUAGAAAGGAGUUAUCCCCCCUGCACCCAGUCGGCUGAAUAAAACAUACCUGCUGUACAACUGCUUUGUGGUUAUAGAGUUUGUUUCGCAAGUCAGUUUCUGUGAGCCAGCCAGGAGAACUCUGAUGGACCGCAGGGCUGGUCGGACCAGGGGACGCUUCUAGCACGCCCCGAAAACAAUUUUUUUUUCGAAGAAGACUCCCCAGGCCGACACAUCCAUUGCGGGGCAGGGAAAGAGCUCCGGCGCAGAGCAUUGCCCUGUGCAUUACAGGACACCUUUUUCUGCCUGGUUUUGCCAAAGAAAGUGUAAAAAAAAGAAAAUUCAGUUAACCUGGACAGUGUUACCCAGGGUUGUGAGAACAGCCCAGUGAUUUGUGAGAAGUGGUCAGCUCGUGAGCCUGAGACUUGGGUUCCUCCAUCCCAAGGUGGAACUUUACCCAUGGAUGCCACAGUAACAAAAGAGGACUGCACAAUGGACUGGGAGGUUGCUGAAUUUCUUGGUUUCAGUGGUUAUCAAGUUUCUCAACUGAAAGCUCAACUGAUCAAAGAGGAGGAAGGAAGCAAUUUGCUGAACGCCCAAGACAGCGACACAGAGCUACCUCCAAUCCAGCAGUGUGCGACUGCACAGAGACUGUCUGUGCCAGUGGGCCAGACCUACAGGAAGAACCAUUGGAUGGUGUGGAGGGUUCCUGCAUUCAUCGACAGAAGCAGUUUUGUGAGACAAGGAAACUGUAAGGCAGGAUAUGGAGUAACUGCUACUUACCAGGUAAUUGAAGCAAAACUAUUACCUGUGGAGAAAUACUUGAGAAAUACUUGGAUUGCUAGGGAUUAAGUGUUAAGAAAUGUCACAGAAAGGCUUUUGAAUGUUACUCUAUACAACUUUCCAAUUUUCUUCUCCAGCAUCCAGCUACUGUUUGAGCUAAGCCUAGAACUAGCCUUCCUGAAGCCUCUGUAGUUUGUGUCAAAAGAAAAACAUAAAUCAGGCAGCUAUACUGGGUAUAGCUAGAAGUAUCUAACUGUACUAUACACAGUGAUGUAUGCUUUUGGAAGUGAACUGUAAUAAAUCAUAGACAAUUCUGUGAUGUCUAGACAAAUAGUUAAACUUUUAUCCAGAUCAUCACCCCACUCAGCAGUAUUAAUACACUGUGGAGAAGACAGGUUUCUUAGAGAUGUUCCUUACCAUAAAAUGCCUCAGUCAACAGUUUUUCCCUUAGGCCAUAUUACUGUCCACUGCUACAGGGACCUUGCAGAUGGUCAUCACACAAAACACUGAUGGACAACACACAAAUUGCCACUGUAAGUUGGUAGUUACCUAUAAAUUGCACUGGAGAAAAAAAAAGAUUUGUUUUUACUUCUGCCUCACAGAAAUCAAUUUAAAUAGCUGUAGUACGUGAUUUCUAAAGAAUAAAAUGAGCUAAAAGCCCUCUUGAAUGAUGAGUGAACACCUUGUGGGGAAAAAUGCUGAAAAUUACAUGUGAUUUAUAAAGCUUUGCUAGAGAUAGCAAUAUAAACUUCUCAUUUUUAUACAAAAUCAAGAUGCUUUAGUCAGUCUAGAGUCAAACAAAAACUGAAAAUCUGGUUGGUUUGUAUGCUAAGUACACAUAUUUUAUGCAUUUUUCACCAUGAAUUAUAACACUGUGUUGUAAUAGAAAUACAG